CCAUGCCUAUAUGACCCUUCCCUUUUACCCCCAUGCCUAUAUGACCCUUCCCUUUUACUCCCCCAUGCCUAUAUGACCCUUCCCUUUUACCCCCCCCCCAUGCCAGUAUGACCCUUCCCUUAAAACCCCAUGCCAGUAUGACCCUUCCCAUGCUGAUAGAAACAGACCACGCUGUUCAGGUCUGUUCCCCCCUCUCCCCUUCCUUUUCCUAUGCCACUCCAUUGCUCUCCAUGACUCUGCACUGUGUGUCCAUGUACACAAAAUGCUUUGUUCCUGUAAGCAAUAAUGAAUCUUUACGAGUCGCGCAUGGAAAGGCUUUUGUUCAGAGGGUUUGUCUUCACUGAGCAAGGCGGAGGGAGCUAGAGCCAGAUCAAACUAACCACAGCCACACUCCUAAACUCUUACCAGUGCUCACAUUCACAUUGAUGGGCACACACCACUUUACUUCUGCUUGAUGGUAGAAUGGGACACAACCUAUGAUGUACCCCUUAGAAAGUUGUCGGUGUAUAUAAAAUACUACCACGUUUGGCGGCCAUAUUGAAUUAGUCUCAAAGAGAAACACUAGAAAGUGUUUCUAUGCUUGGCCAGCCCCCUGUGACAGGGUGGUUCAAACUCUGUAUGCCAGGCUUCCCUGAAGACAAACCCAUGACCAGCUCUUCCCCAACCUGCAGGUUAGGUAAACCAGUAAAAAGUUUCAGUAUCUCUAUCUUCUGUGUUGUUCUCGUAGUAUACAAAUGUGUAUCUUAACGGUGACUAUUAUCAUGUAUAAAGAUUAGACCAAGUCUUUUGUCUAAAGGGUUUUAUUUGACCUCUUCUGCAACCGGAUGGAUUUUAAUUAGACCUUCUGAAUUUUCCCAAACAUUUCUGGGGGUGUUACUCUCACCAUUGGUGUGUGUGUAGGCACUCAGGUGUGUGUGCUGUGGCUCCAGUUGCUCCACCUACAGAUCCAGGGGACUUAAUUAGAGUGUCUUCAGCCUCCACCUGUCAAGCUGUGGCAAUAGAACAGCCAUAUUUAAUUAACUACCCA
Oncorhynchus tshawytscha (Chinook salmon) is the source of this 1027-nucleotide long non-coding RNA. The record is from Ensembl. NCBI's taxonomy places the organism in Eukaryota, Metazoa, Chordata, Actinopteri, Salmoniformes, Salmonidae.